GACGAACGCUGGCGGCGUGCUUAACACAUGCAAGUCGAACGAUGAAAGAGGAGCUUGCUCCUCUGGAUUAGUGGCGAACGGGUGAGUAACACGUGAGCAAUCUGCCCCUGACUCCGGAAUAACUACGGGAAACUGUAGCUAGUACCGGAUAUGCGCCGAACAGGCAUCUGUAUCGGUGGGAAAGAAUUUCGGUCAGGGAUGAGCUCGCGGCCUAUCAGCUUGUUGGUGAGGUAACGGCUCACCAAGGCGACGACGGGUAGCCGGCCUGAGAGGGUGACCGGCCAAAGUGGGCGUGAGACCGGCCACGACCCCCGCGGGGGGCAGCAGGGGGGAAUGUUGCACAAAGGGGAGCAGGCCGGAUCCACAACCCCCGGGGGGGGGAGGAGGCCUUCGGGUUGUAAACCCUUUUUAGGAGGGAAAAAGCCAAAAGGGGGGUUCCCUAAAAAAAAAGCCCCGACAAACACGGGC
This 468-nucleotide ribosomal RNA is filed under the name uncultured bacterium. RNAcentral's name for it is "partial 16S ribosomal RNA". It matches the Rfam family "Bacterial small subunit ribosomal RNA", at positions 28 to 508 of the family's 1533-position model. The record is from RNAcentral.